UGCGUAGGCGGAAGAUUAAGUCAGUGGUGAAAUCCUGCAGCUCAACUGUAGAACUGUCAUUGAUACUGAUCUUCUUGAAUACAGUUGAGGUAGGCGGAAUAUGUAAUGUAGCGGUGAAAUGCUUAGAUAUUACAUAGAACACCGAUUGCGAAGGCAGCUUACUAAACUGUGAUUGACGCUGAGGCACGAAAGCGUGGGGAGCGAACAGGAUUAGAUACCCUGGUAGUC
This 228-nucleotide ribosomal RNA is filed under the name uncultured bacterium. RNAcentral's name for it is "partial 16S ribosomal RNA". It matches the Rfam family "Bacterial small subunit ribosomal RNA", at positions 568 to 795 of the family's 1533-position model. The record is from RNAcentral.